CCUACGGGAGGCUGCAGUGGGGAAUAUUGCACAAUGGGCGCAAGCCUGAUGCAGCCAUGCCGCGUGUGUGAAGAAGGCCUUCGGGUUGUAAAGCACUUUCAGCGGGGAGGAAGGCGUUAAGGUUAAUAACCUUGUCGAUUGACGUUACCCGCAGAAGAAGCACCGGCUAACUCCGUGCCAGCAGCCGCGGUAAUACGGAGGGUGCAAGCGUUAAUCGGAAUUACUGGGCGUAAAGCGCACGCAGGCGGUCUGUCAAGUCGGAUGUGAAAUCCCCGGGCUCAACCUGGGAACUGCAUUCGAAACUGGCAGGCUAGAGUCUUGUAGAGGGGGGUAGAAUUCCAGGUGUAGCGGUGAAAUGCGUAGAGAUCGGGAGGAAUACCGGUGGCGAAGGCGGCCCCCUGGACAAAGACUGACGCUCAGGUGCGAAAGCGUGGGGAGCAAACAGGAUUAGAUACCCCGGUAGUC
This 465-nucleotide ribosomal RNA is filed under the name uncultured Klebsiella sp. RNAcentral's name for it is "bacterial SSU rRNA". It matches the Rfam family "Bacterial small subunit ribosomal RNA", at positions 338 to 795 of the family's 1533-position model. Lineage: Bacteria; Pseudomonadati; Pseudomonadota; Gammaproteobacteria; Enterobacterales; Enterobacteriaceae. The record is from RNAcentral.